AAGCUCUUCCAAGGUGAGAUCAAUCUUCUUGUGUUUUAAUUUGUUCUUGUAAUUAGACCAAGAAUCUGAAAUCUUUUUUAUUAGUAUGUUAGCUUGUAAAAUCACACACGUUGUCAUGCCCUCAGCCAGGACAUUUGCUGUCAAAUUCUCAUACAUAUGGACUUGAUCCAUAAUUGGUUGAUCUUCUUGCAUCGUGAAAUUCAACCAAUUUCCCACAACAUAUUUCUUCUUUCCUACAUCGUCUACCAUAUUUCUUUGUCAGAGUCUCCCAUAUGGUCUUUGCUGACUUGUGUUGAAUGAGAAAAUCAAAUAUGAAAUUGGAUAGAUGACUGAGAACGUGCCUUCUCAAAAUUUGCAAUUUCUUUCUCAGCAUUAGCAGCAUCGGUGGUCUUCUUGCUCGCAGCUAUUUCGCUGAUAGUAGCUGCAUUUGAAAUUAUGGCUGAAGACCCAGCUUUCGAUAACGUUGCACCUUCUGAGGGACCAACAAAGAGCACAUGGUCAAACUUCAAUUUCUCCAGGAAAAUAAGUAACUUCUGAGACUACCUCUUGAAGUUUGUGCCAUCAAGAGGUUCAAGUUUGUUGAGAUCUGCCAGCACCUUGUUUUGCA
This 607-nucleotide long non-coding RNA is filed under the name Linum usitatissimum (flax). Its description in RNAcentral is "long non-coding RNA (LUSI_LNC007336)". Lineage: Eukaryota; Viridiplantae; Streptophyta; Magnoliopsida; Malpighiales; Linaceae. The record is from RNAcentral.